GCCCCCAUAGCUCAGUGGCAGAGCGCGUUCUUGGUAAGAACGAGGUCAUGAGUUCAAGUCUCAUUGGGGGCUCCA
Molecule: transfer RNA, 75 nt
Filed under: Chloroflexota bacterium
Lineage: Bacteria; Bacillati; Chloroflexota
Also listed under: 1 other name
Description: Chloroflexi bacterium tRNA-Thr
Rfam family: tRNA
About the family: Transfer RNA (tRNA) molecules are approximately 80 nucleotides in length. Their secondary structure includes four short double-helical elements and three loops (D, anti-codon, and T loops).
Source: RNAcentral